This 497-nucleotide ribosomal RNA is filed under the name uncultured bacterium. RNAcentral's name for it is "partial 16S ribosomal RNA". It matches the Rfam family "Bacterial small subunit ribosomal RNA", at positions 28 to 507 of the family's 1533-position model. The record is from RNAcentral.
GAUGAACGCUGGCGGCGUGCCUAAUACAUGCAAGUCGAGCGAACGGACGAGAAGCUUGCUUCUCUGAUGUUAGCGGCGGACGGGUGAGUAACACGUGGAUAACCUACCUAUAAGACUGGGAUAACUUCGGGAAACCGUAGCUAAUACCGGAUAAUAUUUUGAACCGCAUGGUUCAAAAGUGAAAGACGGUCUUGCUGUCACUUAUAGAUGGAUCCGCGCUGCAUUAGCUAGUUGGUAAGGUAACGGCUUACCAAGGCAACGAUGCAUAGCCGACCUGAGAGGGUGAUCGGCCACAAUGGAACUGAGACACGGUCCAGACUCCUAAGGGAGGCAGCAGUAGGGAAUCUUCCGCAAUGGGCGAAAGCCUGACGGAGCAACGCCGCGUGAGUGAUGAAGGUCUUCGGAUCGUAAAACUCUGUUAUUAGGGAAGAACAUAUGUGUAAGUAACUGUGCACAUCUUGACGGUACCUAAUCAGAAAGCCACGGCUAACUACGUG